This 73-nucleotide transfer RNA is filed under the name Gloeobacterales cyanobacterium ES-bin-313. It matches the Rfam family "tRNA". From Rfam's summary of the family: Transfer RNA (tRNA) molecules are approximately 80 nucleotides in length. Their secondary structure includes four short double-helical elements and three loops (D, anti-codon, and T loops). The record is from Rfam by way of RNAcentral. Lineage: Bacteria; Bacillati; Cyanobacteriota; Cyanophyceae; Gloeobacterales.
GCCGUAGUAGCACAAUUGGCAGUGCAACUGUCUUGUAAACAGUAGGUUGUCGGUUCGACUCCGACCUAUGGCU